GACGAACGCUGGCGGCGUGCCUAACACAUGCAAGUCGAGCGGAGGCGGAGGAAGGCCCAGCGAUGGGUUGGAGACUGCUUUAGCGGCGAACGGGUGAGUAACACGUGGGCAAUCUGCCCUCUGGAGCGGGAUAACAGACCGAAAGGCUUGCUAAUACCGCAUGAGGCCGUACCCUCGCAUGGGGGAACGGUCAAAGGGGAAACCCGCCGGAGGAGGAGCCCGCGUCCCAUUAGCUAGUUGGCGGUGUAACGGACCACCAAGGCGAUGAUGGGUAGCCGGCCUGAGAGGGUGAACGGCCACAUUGGGACUGAGACACGGCCCAGACUCCUACGGGUGGCAG
Molecule: ribosomal RNA, 340 nt
Filed under: uncultured Bacillota bacterium
Lineage: Bacteria; Bacillati; Bacillota
Description: bacterial SSU rRNA
Rfam family: Bacterial small subunit ribosomal RNA
Source: RNAcentral